GACGUAGGUGGCAAACGUUAUCCGGAAUUAUUGGGCGUAAAGGGUGCGUAGACGGUCUGAUAAGUUAUUGGUGGCAAACCGAGGCUCAACCUCGUGGAAGCUAAUAAUACUGUUAGACUUAGAGGGCAGAAGAGGUUAACGGAAUUCUCUGUGGAGCGGUAAAAUGCGUAGAUAUAGAGAAGAACACCAAAAGGCGAAAGCAGUUAACUAUUCUGUUCCUGACGUUAAGGCACGAAAGCGUGGGGAGCAAAACGG
Molecule: ribosomal RNA, 255 nt
Filed under: uncultured bacterium
Lineage: Bacteria
Description: partial 16S ribosomal RNA
Rfam family: Bacterial small subunit ribosomal RNA
Source: RNAcentral